This 911-nucleotide long non-coding RNA is filed under the name Homo sapiens (human). RNAcentral describes it as "HSALNT0098377". The record is from RNAcentral. Lineage: Eukaryota; Metazoa; Chordata; Mammalia; Primates; Hominidae.
GGCUGCGGGCGGUGAGGGGGCAGCAGGUGUGGCACAGAGUCCUGUUUACCUGCCGCUGAGCCUGGCGGGCGCUGCCUAUUUGCUGAGCUCCCUUCCCGGCCUGGCUCAGGUCUCUGUAGGUCAGGCUCCCCUGGCCUCCUCUCUACCCUACCACUCACCACAAUGACAUCUUCCUGCCUUCUGAUGGUGCCAUGGUCUGAAUGUUGGUGUCUCCCCAAAAUUCAUACGUUGAAACCUGACCACCAAUGUGAGGGUAUCAGGAGGUGGGGCCUUUGGAAGGCGAUUGGGUCAUGAAGAUGGAGCCUCAUGAAUGGGACUAGUGCCCUAAUGAAAAGAUGUCCCAGCAUGCUGCCCUGCCUGUUCUACACUCUGAGGACACAGUGAGAAGGCACCAUCUAUGAGCCAGAAAGUGGGCCUUCAGCAGACACCAAAUCUACUUUGAUCUUGGACUUCCCGGCCUCCAGAACUGUUAGAAAUAAAUUUCUUUAUAAGCCACCCAGCCUAUGGCAUUUUGUUACAGCAGCACUAAGGUAGAUGGCUUCUAGUUUUCCAAGGUCCUUGGGAUCAUUUCUGUGAGUAAGCCUGGUUGUACAGUGGCAAUUCCUCCUGCCAGCCCUGGUCCCCAGAGAGGAGCCAUCACUGAAUUUCUAAGUGAUCCAUUCCUAACAUCCUUGGUAAGUGGGUUAUCAUCUGGGUCCUGUGUGCAGCACAGGCCUCUGGGAGUUCCAGCCUUACAUGGCACACCUCCUCUGGUGGGCCCACCUCUCUGAGCCUAAGUGCCAAGGGCCUACCGUCUGCUCCAGCAGUUCUCACUUCAUGUUGGCCGCUGCUUUUUCCCAUGUUUCUAGGAACCAUCUGUAGUGAGUUUGCACCAUCUCCUGGGACACUGGUGAGAGUAUUAAAUCCUGUAU